UCUGCGAUAGAAACCAAAAUGGAAACGUGGA
Molecule: non-coding RNA, 31 nt
Filed under: Rattus norvegicus (Norway rat)
Lineage: Eukaryota; Metazoa; Chordata; Mammalia; Rodentia; Muridae
Source: RNAcentral